This is a long non-coding RNA of Neomonachus schauinslandi (Hawaiian monk seal), 294 nucleotides long. RefSeq lists it as uncharacterized. NCBI's taxonomy places the organism in Eukaryota, Metazoa, Chordata, Mammalia, Carnivora, Phocidae. The record is from RefSeq and is a predicted model, not a curated record. The transcript has 4 exons.
UUUAAAGCUACAGAAAAGACAGAAAGUGAGAAAAGAAAAAAGCCUGCCAGAGCCGAGGUAGCUGCCCUGCCAAGAGCUAUCCUGGGAGAGCUAUUGAAAGAGCCUUGAGCUUUUAUCGGGACCAGAGAAGACGUGAUGAUGUUGGAGCACAAAGACAUGGAGCUGCUGGCUGACGUCACAUGUAGCAGAGGGAGAGCUGUGGGGAGCAGUCUUUGAGGAUUUGGGGGGUGAACACGCCACGGGCCCGCUUCAUCAAGAGUGGAAAUCGGCAGGAGGAAAAAGGACGUCCUUAAA